This 93-nucleotide ribosomal RNA is filed under the name Acanthosepion pharaonis. Lineage: Eukaryota; Metazoa; Mollusca; Cephalopoda; Sepiida; Sepiidae. The record is from RNAcentral.
UAUGGCCAUAUCACAUUGAAACACCAGUUCCAAUACAAUCACUGAAGUUAAGCAACAUUGUGCUUGGUCAGUACUUAGAUGGGUGACUACAGG